RNAcentral lists this long non-coding RNA (1961 nucleotides) under Monodelphis domestica (gray short-tailed opossum). Its description in RNAcentral is "lncRNA (ENSMODG00000033466.2)". Lineage: Eukaryota; Metazoa; Chordata; Mammalia; Didelphimorphia; Didelphidae. The record is from RNAcentral.
CAAUCAUUGUGAAGUGUUUAGCAUGAUGUAAGCACUAGAUAAGAGUUAGCUAUUACUGUUAGAAUUGGAAGGAACCUCAGAGUUCUAGCCCCCAGUCACCUCAUUUUACAAGGGAACAGAAGGAAGGCAGAUAGAAUAACUUGUCUGAUGUCACCUAGGAAAGUCAGCUUGGAGCAGAGGCAAGAGCCUGGUUCUCCUGAAUUCCUAGCUCCUGCUCUGGAUUCAACCCCCCAUUACCAGCCUUCAAACUUUACGAAACCUUGGGGGCACAAGUGCUAUUGUUUUUUCCAUUUUCGAAAUGAGGAAACUAGGCUGAAAAGGACUAAAUGACUUUCCCAGGACCAUACAGCUAAUCACCUAUGUCUUCCUGGGGGAGAUCCUACAGGUCUUCAAACAAGCAUGUCAUUUGCAGAAGCAACAACAGUCCUCUUCUGUUUCGUCGCCUUCCAACACUCCCAGGGUGACUUGUCUCUUUCCUUAUGAUUGCUAAGUACCCAGCACUUUCCCAUGCAGGAAGCUUAUGGCAAACUAAUUAACAUUUAAUGAGAGGAAACCAACUGAUUAGAAUGAUUUUCCUGGUACUCAAGCUAAUAAAUGUUGCAUGGACUCUGGAUGGCAUCUUUUGAUUUUCUUUGUUCCCUUCCCUUCUCUUCCUUUCUCUUCCCUUCCCUUCCCUUCUGUUCCUUUCCCUUCCUUACCCUUCCUUUCCCUUCCUUAUUUUUCCUUCCCUCCUUUCCUCCCUUCCUACUUCCCUCUGUUCUUUCCUUCUUUCCUUCCUUCCCUCCUUCCUUCUCUCUCCUCCUCCUCUCUCAACUCUCUCCUCCUCUCUAUUUCUCCCUUCCUUCCUUCCUUCCUUUCUUCCUUCCUUACUUACUUACUUACUUACUGCCUUACGGACAUCCAGGCAAACUAUGAAAAAAAAAAAAUAAAAAAAAAAAAAACUGAGUCAAGCAGAAGUUAAUUGACUUACCCAGAGUUACAUAGCUAAUAAGUGUCUGAAUCUGCAUUUUAACUCAGGUCUCCCCCCCCCUUUUUCUCUUCUUCUUCUUCUUUUUUUGGCAAUGGGGGUCAAGUGACUUGCCCAGGGUCACACAGCUGGGAAGUGUCUGAGGCCAGAUUUGAACCUAGGACCUCCUGUCUUUAGGCCUGGCUCUCAAUCCACUGAGCUACUCAACUGCCCUCUGAACUCAGGUCUUUUUAAACUCCAAUCCUGGAGUUCUAUCCAACAUGCCCCCUAAUUGCCCCAUCCCGAACAACCAACAAUCAGCAUCCGCAUUAAGCAGAUAGUGAGACAUCUCUCCCUUCUCUCAAAGAACUCUGAGGUUAGAACGUGCAUACAUUCCUAUAUGUGGUCAUUCUACUGAUUUCUUUUGCCUGCCCGUUUUUAUCUCUAAUUCUUGGGGGAGGAGAGAAUGGGAUAUCUAAAACAAUAUCGCUAAACCUUUAUUUUUUAUUUUUUCCUAAAGGGAUUGCAUCUCCAAAUACUUGCUUCCUUUCUGCUCUAUAAUUCAGCGACAUGCCUGGCCUUUGAAUUUGCUGCUUCUGCGAGCCCCAAGGUCCUUGAGCCUCAGUUUCCCAUCUAGAAAGUGAUGCUAUCUGCUCCACAAUUGUCUCCGGACGAUUAUCAUAAUGCCUUUCCCGGGGUGCUCGUGAUCUUGCAUGAAGAGUGCUUUAAAAACCUUUAGGGGCUAUCUCGAUGUUAACUGUUUUUUCUGGGAGAUUUGAGGAAUCUCCCCUUUUCUCGAGUGGAAUUGGGUGUUUGGGGCUUGUGCCCCCAGUGCCUAGCACAGGGCUCGGCCCAUAGAUGUCCUCAGUAAGUAAUUCUUUGUUUCUGUGUUGUGAGACUAAACAACAAUGUUGGCGUGCUUUUCGGCAGCAGCCAUCCUAGUCUAUCUACGCUGCCGUUGUUGGUACCUUCCUUUCCUUCGACACCAGCUGUAGGAUGCUUUCGCUUUGGCAUU